Molecule: long non-coding RNA, 580 nt
Filed under: Numida meleagris (helmeted guineafowl)
Lineage: Eukaryota; Metazoa; Chordata; Aves; Galliformes; Numididae
Description: lncRNA (ENSNMEG00000001128.1)
Source: RNAcentral
GAUGUCACAAGGGGCAAUGAGCAGUGAUGUCAUGUGAUUGGGGCACGGCGUGAUGAUGUCACCAGGCUGGGCCAAUGGUGUGACGUCACGGGGAAAACAUGGGAGCAGGGGAGGGGACAGGGGAACUCACUGGGCCGCCAUCUUGGCCUCCUCCUCCGCCAUCUUGCCGUCCUCCUCGGCCGCCAUCUUGACGCCCUCCUGGGCCCCCACCCUGACACCUCUGGCCGCCAUCUUGUCCUGGUGGGCCGCCACCUCGUCCUCCUCCGCCGUUAUCCCGACGUCCCCCUGGGCCGCCAUCUUGUCCCCAACCGCCAUCCCAUCCUCAGCCACUGCCACGAUGUCCUCCUGGGCCGCCAUCUUGAAGCCCUCCUUGGUCACCAUCUUGGAGUCCUCCUGGGCCGCCAUCUUGGAGUCCUCCUUGGCCGCCAUCUUGUCUCCCUCAACCGCCAUCUCCCCCACCUCGGCCUCCAUCUUGUCCCCCUCAACCGCCAUCUUGCCCUCAUCCGCCAUCUUGCCCUCCUUGGCCGCCAUCUUGUCUCUCUCAAUCGUCAUCUUGCCCCCAUCCACUAUCUCGCCCUCC